Long non-coding RNA from Diabrotica virgifera virgifera (western corn rootworm), 176 nucleotides. RefSeq lists it as uncharacterized. The record is from RefSeq and is a predicted model, not a curated record. NCBI's taxonomy places the organism in Eukaryota, Metazoa, Arthropoda, Insecta, Coleoptera, Chrysomelidae. The transcript is spliced from 2 exons.
CUGUCUUCUAUGUGUUUUUAAAGCAUAUCUAGAUGAAAAGCCCUUACUACAAUACUCACAAACAUGAGGUCUCAGUUUUUCGUGAGUGAUUCGAACAUGGUUUAAUAAAUUGGUAUUGGUAAAGAAAGCUUUUCCACAAGUACUGCAUUUAAAGUUCCUUACACCUCCAUGAACCU